UACAGAGGGGGCAAGCGUUGUUCGGAAUUACCGGGCGUAAAGGGCGCGUAGGCGGCCUUCUAAGUCGAACGUGAAAUCCCCGGGCUCAACCCGGGAACUGCGUCCGAUACUGGAGGGCUUGAAUCCGGGAGAGGGAUGUGGAAUUCCAGGUGUAGCGGUGAAAUGCGUAGAUAUCUGGAGGAACACCGGUGGCGAAGGCGACAUCCUGGACCGGUAUUGACGCUGAGGCGCGAAAGCCAGGGGAGCAAACGGG
This 253-nucleotide ribosomal RNA is filed under the name uncultured bacterium. RNAcentral's name for it is "partial 16S ribosomal RNA". It matches the Rfam family "Bacterial small subunit ribosomal RNA", at positions 524 to 776 of the family's 1533-position model. The record is from RNAcentral.